This 242-nucleotide ribosomal RNA is filed under the name uncultured bacterium. RNAcentral describes it as "partial 16S ribosomal RNA". It matches the Rfam family "Bacterial small subunit ribosomal RNA", at positions 92 to 334 of the family's 1533-position model. The record is from RNAcentral.
CCAGUGGCGGACGGGUGAGUAACGCGUAGAAAUCUGCCUUGAGAUGGGGGAUAACAGUCCGAAAGGAUUGCUAAUACCGCAUAUGUAUGUACUCGGACACGAGUGUAUAUGAAAGGAGUAAUCCGUCUUAAGAUGAGUCUGCGUCCGAUUAGCUAGUUGGUAGGGUAAAAGCCUACCAAGGCGACGAUCGGUAGCUGGUCUGAGAGGAUGAUCAGCCACAAUGGGACUGAGACACGGCCCAU